ACACACACACACACACACACACACACACAGCCACAUAGGCUAGGCUACAAUUACAACAGUUUUCCCCACUCAUCCUGUCUCUUUUUUUCAGAGAGAAAGAGAGAGAGAGAGAGAGGGAGAGCUUUGUGCAUAGAAAU
Long non-coding RNA from Etheostoma cragini (Arkansas darter), 137 nucleotides. RefSeq lists it as uncharacterized. Lineage: Eukaryota; Metazoa; Chordata; Actinopteri; Perciformes; Percidae. The record is from RefSeq and is a predicted model, not a curated record. The transcript has 3 exons.